Molecule: ribosomal RNA, 253 nt
Filed under: uncultured bacterium
Lineage: Bacteria
Description: partial 16S ribosomal RNA
Rfam family: Bacterial small subunit ribosomal RNA
Source: RNAcentral
GACAGAGGGUGCAAACGUUGCUCGGAAUUACUGGGCGUAAAGGGCGUGUAGGCGGGAAGGCAAAUCGGGCGUGAAAGCCCCAGGCUCAACCUGGGAACUGCACUCGAAACUGCCUUUCUUGAGUGCCGGAGAGGAAAGCGGAAUUCCUGGUGUAGAGGUGAAAUUCGUAGAUAUCAGGAGGAACACCAGUGGCGAAGGCGGCUUUCUGGACGGUAACUGACGCUGAGACGCGAAAGCGUGGGGAGCAAACAGG